UCCCCUGUGGAUCAGUUGGUAGAGCAUGGUGCUUGCAACACCAGGGUUGUGGGUUCGAUUCCCACGGGGGAC
Molecule: transfer RNA, 72 nt
Filed under: Salmo salar (Atlantic salmon)
Lineage: Eukaryota; Metazoa; Chordata; Actinopteri; Salmoniformes; Salmonidae
Rfam family: tRNA
About the family: Transfer RNA (tRNA) molecules are approximately 80 nucleotides in length.
Source: Rfam by way of RNAcentral